RNAcentral lists this ribosomal RNA (490 nucleotides) under uncultured bacterium. RNAcentral's name for it is "bacterial SSU rRNA". It matches the Rfam family "Bacterial small subunit ribosomal RNA", at positions 28 to 494 of the family's 1533-position model. The record is from RNAcentral.
GACGAACGCUGGCGGCGUGCCUAACACAUGCAAGUCGUACGAGAAAGUCGGCUUCGGCCGGUGAGUAAAGUGGCGCACGGGUGAGUAACGCGUGGAUAAUCUGCCCUCCGGUCAGGAAUAACCAAUCGAAAGGUUGGCUAAUACCCGAUCACACUCUUGCACUGCGGUGCAAUAGUCAAAGAUGGCCUCUGUAUACAAGCUAUCGCCGGGGGAUGAGUCCGCGUACCAUUAGCUGGUUGGUGGGGUAAUGGCCUACCAAGGCGAUGAUGGUUAGCUGGUCUGAGAGGAUGGCCAGCCACACUGGAACUGAGACACGGUCCAGACUCCUACGGGAGGCAGCAGUGAGGAAUCUUGCGCAAUGGGGGAAACCCUGACGCAGCAACGCCGCGUGAGUGAGGAAGGCCCUCGGGUCGUAAAGCUCUGUCAGGUGGGAAGAAAUCGAUGAAGGUGAACAACCUCCAUCCUUGGCGGUACCACCAGAGGAAGCACC